RNAcentral lists this ribosomal RNA (468 nucleotides) under uncultured bacterium. Its description in RNAcentral is "partial 16S ribosomal RNA". It matches the Rfam family "Bacterial small subunit ribosomal RNA", at positions 28 to 507 of the family's 1533-position model. The record is from RNAcentral.
GACGAACGCUGGCGGCGUGCUUAACACAUGCAAGUCGAACGGAAAGGCCCUGCGUUUGUGGGGGGCUCGAGUGGCGAACGGGUGAGUAACCCGUGAGUAACCUGCCCUUGACUUUGGGAUAACUUCAGGAAACUGGGGCUAAUACCGGAUAGGAGCUCCUGCUGCAUGGUGGGGGUUGGAAAGUUUCGGCGGUUGGGGAUGGACUCGCGGCUUAUCAGCUUGUUGGUGGGGUAGUGGCUUACCAAGGCUUUGACGGGUAGCCGGCCUGAGAGGGUGACCGGCCACAUUGGGACUGAGAUACGGCCCAGACUCCUACGGGAGGCAGCAGUGGGGAAUAUUGCACAAUGGGCGGAAGCCUGAUGCAGCAACGCCGCGUGCGGGAUGACGGCCUUCGGGUUGUAAACCGCUUUCGCCUGUGACGAAGCGUGAGUGACGGUAAUGGGUAAAGAAGCACCGGCUAACUACGUG